GACAGAGGGUGCAAGCGUUGUUCGGAAUCAUUGGGCGUAAAGCGCGCGUAGGUGGCUUAAUAAGUUGAAUGUGAAAUCCCUGAGCUCAACUUAGGAAGUGCAUUCAAGACUGUUAAGCUUGAGUCCUGGAGAGGGUGGUGGAAUUCCCAGUGUAGAAGUGAAAUUCGUAGAUAUUGGGAGGAACACCAGUGGCGAAGGCGACCACCUGGACGGAGACUGACACUGAGGCGCGAAAGCGUGGGGAGCAAACAGG
This 253-nucleotide ribosomal RNA is filed under the name uncultured bacterium. Its description in RNAcentral is "partial 16S ribosomal RNA". It matches the Rfam family "Bacterial small subunit ribosomal RNA", at positions 524 to 776 of the family's 1533-position model. The record is from RNAcentral.